CCUACGGGAGGCUGCAGUGGGGAAUUUUGGACAAUGGGGGCAACCCUGAUCCAGCCAUGCCGCGUGAGUGAAGAAGGCCUUCGGGUUGUAAAGCUCUUUCGGCCGGGAAGAAAUCGCUCAAGCUAAUACCUUGGGUGGAUGACGGUACCGGAAGAAGAAGCACCGGCUAACUACGUGCCAGCAGCCGCGGUAAUACGUAGGGUGUUAGUGGUAAUCGGAAUUACUGGGCGGAAAGCAUAAGCCAGCGGCGAAAUCCCCGGGCUUAACCUGGGAACUGCGUUUGUGACUGUGGUGCUCGAGUGCGGCAGAGGGGAGUGGAAUUCCACGUGUAGCAGUGAAAUGCGUAGAGAUGUGGAGGAACACCGAUGGCGAAGGCAGCCCCCUGGGUCGACACUGACGCUCAGGCACGAAAGCGUGGGGAGCAAACAGGAUUAGAUACCCCAGUAGUC
RNAcentral lists this ribosomal RNA (449 nucleotides) under uncultured bacterium. RNAcentral's name for it is "partial 16S ribosomal RNA". It matches the Rfam family "Bacterial small subunit ribosomal RNA", at positions 338 to 795 of the family's 1533-position model. The record is from RNAcentral.